GAUGAACGCUGGCGGCGUGCCUCAAACAUGCAAGUCGAGCGGGGCUAUGUAAUAUCGCAAGGUAGAACAUAGCCUAGCGGCGAACGGGUGAGUAACACGUGGGUAACCUGCCUGGAAGACAGGGAUAACGAUUCGAAAGGGUCGCUAAUACCUGAUAAUAUCCUUUCAUCGCAUGGUGAUAGGAAGAAAGGGGAAACCCGCUUUCAGAUGGGCCCGCGUCCCAUCAGCUAGUUGGUAAGGUAAAGGCUUACCAAGGCGACGACGGGUAGCCGGUCUGAGAGGAUGUACGGCCACACUGGGACUGAGAUACGGCCCAGACUCCUACGGGAGGCAGCAGUUGGGAAUCUUAGGCAAUGGACGAAAGUCUGACCUAGCGGCGCCGCGUGAGGGAAGAAGGCCUUCGGGUUGUAAACCUCUGUCAUGGGGAAGAAGUAAGUGACGGUACCCCAAGAGGAAGCCCCUGCUAACUACGUG
RNAcentral lists this ribosomal RNA (474 nucleotides) under uncultured bacterium. RNAcentral describes it as "bacterial SSU rRNA". It matches the Rfam family "Bacterial small subunit ribosomal RNA", at positions 28 to 507 of the family's 1533-position model. The record is from RNAcentral.